RNAcentral lists this ribosomal RNA (416 nucleotides) under Chloropicon mariensis. RNAcentral describes it as "partial Bacterial large subunit ribosomal RNA". It matches the Rfam family "Bacterial large subunit ribosomal RNA", at positions 2115 to 2529 of the family's 2925-position model. Lineage: Eukaryota; Viridiplantae; Chlorophyta; Chloropicophyceae; Chloropicales; Chloropicaceae. The record is from RNAcentral.
UAUUGGUGUUCGGUUCGGCUUGUGUAGGAUAGGUGGGAGCCAGUGAACCCGGGGCGCCAGCCCUGGGGGAGGCGACGUUGAAAUACCACCCUGGCGGCGCCGUCGUUCUCACUCCUUGAGGUGAUCCCUAAGGAGGACCGCGGCUGGUGGGGAGUUUGACUGGGGCGGUCGCCUCCCAAAGUGUAACGGAGGCGUCCAAUGCUCACCUCAGGCUGGUUGGAAACUAGCUUUAAGAGUACAAAGGCAGAAGGUGGGUUUACUGUGAGACAAACAAGUCGAGCAGUUGCGAAAGCAGGGCUUAGUGACCCUUUGGCGGUGUAUGGGUGCGCCAAAGAUCAUCGGAUAUAAGCUACCCCGGGGAUAACAGGCUUAUCUUGCCCAAGCGCUCACAGCGACGGCAAGGUUUGGCACCUCGA